This is a non-coding RNA of Phoenix dactylifera (date palm), 1577 nucleotides long. NCBI's taxonomy places the organism in Eukaryota, Viridiplantae, Streptophyta, Magnoliopsida, Arecales, Arecaceae. The record is from RefSeq and is a predicted model, not a curated record.
CCAGGUGCAGAGCACUCGUUAGGCGUUCUCCUCCGCUCGCUCCUCUAUAAAUUUCCCUCUCCUGUCUCUUUUUCUCUCGUUCUCGUCGCCAGCCUCAUCUCAAAAUCCCUAGAAACUAGAGGGUGAAGAGAGAGUGUGAAGAACUGCUCUUUCUCGUGGUGUCUUGGGCGGCCAUGGCUCCGAGAGGAAGGUCGAGGAAGGUAGGACUGAGGCGGAUAGACGCCGCCAUCGAUGCCCUAACCCCGUUAGGCUUCUCCCGCGAAAUCGUAUGCAAAACCGUCAAUGAUCUUCUGAAGGUCUAUGAGGGAGAUGAAGGAUGGGUAUUUCUUGAGGAAGCUUCAUACAAGAUGGUCAUCGAAACCAUCCUCAACAACCAAGAGGAAGAGGAAGCGCAGGCGGGGAGGGAGGAACAUAAAGUGAAAAAUGAGGAAAGAACUGCAGAAUAUUAUGAGGCUGGUGAAACAGUUCCUCAUCAUGAUGUGCUGUCAAACACACCUCAAUUUGGGGGGGAUAUUGAUUGGAAGGAUAUUUCUUGUGUGGACGGAUUAGGGCAUAUCUUGGACGGUCAAAGUCAACCUACUUUGACUUCACAUGAAAUAGACCAACCCAGUGGUCGUCCCAGGCAAAGGCGUCCAUGUUUUGGCUGGUUAAGUGAAAGUGAGGAGGAAAAUGAAGCGGAGGAGCCUGAGGGUGAAGAUCAAUCAGGGGAGCCUCCAAUUAAUUCUUCUAUUGUUUAUCUGGAUCAGGAAAUGUUUGAAUUUGCUGGGAGCCUGCAUCAUGAGAUGAAGAGGGAGCCUCCACGUAACGCAUCUUUAAUUUAUCAGAAGCAGGAAGGGGUUGACUUUUCUGGAAGUCCACAUCAUGAAGUGAAGCAGGAGUCUCCAAGUAAUGCUUCUAUCAUUUAUCAAGAAAAAGAAUCGGUUGGAUUUGCUGGAAGUCUGUAUUGUGAAAUUAAACAGGAGCAGGAAGAAGUUGAAUUUGCUGGAAGCCUGCAUCGUGGAAGGAAGAGGAGAAGUGGAUGGGAUGUCAAACAUUCUGAUAUGUAAAAGGCUAUGAGUUCAAGUCUUGGGUGGUGCAUCCCCAAGAUUUUGGAAUCUGGCUAAUUACAAUACCAGCUGGUUCUUUUGUUCUUUAAAUAAAACAAGACAUUAAAAGCAUAGAUGGCAAGAUGGACAUGGAAUCAACUUAAGCCGAGAUACAACCACUGACAUAAGACACCAAGGCUACCCAGAAUCUUAUAUCUUGUUCACAAAAGCAGCCUCCGCAAGAUCAAUAGCUCCAGCAAGAGCUGCAGCCUUGUUUUCACAUUCUCGCUGCCCAUCAUCUGGAAUGCUGUCAGCCACGAUGGCAGCUCCAGCCUGGAGGUGCGCCUCCCAUUCCUGGUGCAUGCCCUUAUCCUUGUAUGGAGACAUUGUGUUGUAACGACUUCCAGUCGGGGAAGACGAUAGUUCGCAGAGCAAGCGCAAUGUCCAUGUCACCAGAAAAUGACACGCUGCCAAAACCACCACCAUGGGGACCUCGCCUCUUGACCUCCAACCGAUCAAUUAACUCCAUGGCCCUGACCUGAUUCAACAUGG